GCGAAGCUAGUUGUAUUAUUAGUUAAUGCAAGAUCGACUACGUCGACUAAAGUUCUAGGUAGAAUAAUGAUGAUGACAAUUUUUUACCUAUAUGUCUUGACCAAGUCUCGUGCCAGCAGUCGCGGUAAUACGUGGAAGACUAGUGUUAUUCAUCUUUAUUAGGUUUAAAGGGUACCUAGACGGUAUUUCUAGCCCAAAAUAGGGUACGGAUUUACUAGAGUUUUAUGUGAGGAGGGGAGUACUCGUGGAGUAGAGAUGAAAUUUUGUUAUACUAUGAGGUAACUGGUGGCGGCGAAAGCAACCUUCUAUGUAUAAACUGACGUUGAGGGACGAAGGCUUGGGUAGCAAAUAGGAUUAGAUACCCUAGUAGUCCAAGCAGACAAUUCUGAAUGCCAUAGAUUAGAUUAUUUUUGGUCUAUAAAUGAAAGUGUAAGCAUUCCACCUUAGGAGUAAUGUGGCAACACAGGAACUGAAAUCAUUAGACCGUUUCUGAAACCAGUAGUGAAGUAUGUUAUUUAAAUAGAUGGUCCACAAAAAACCUUACCACAACUUGAAUAAUUUAUAGCUCAUACAAGCGUUGCACGGCUGUCUUCAGUUAAUGUCGU
RNAcentral lists this ribosomal RNA (605 nucleotides) under Acarospora muddii. RNAcentral describes it as "SSU rRNA". It matches the Rfam family "Bacterial small subunit ribosomal RNA", at positions 375 to 1068 of the family's 1533-position model. The record is from RNAcentral. Lineage: Eukaryota; Fungi; Ascomycota; Lecanoromycetes; Acarosporales; Acarosporaceae.